GACCUCUUAGGUAGCUUAGUGGUUUGAGCGUCCGCCUCGGAUGCGGGAGGUGGUGGGUUUGAUCCAAGGCCGAGUCA
Potamilus streckersoni is the source of this 77-nucleotide non-coding RNA. NCBI's taxonomy places the organism in Eukaryota, Metazoa, Mollusca, Bivalvia, Unionida, Unionidae. The record is from the annotation of a GenBank genome assembly.